This 580-nucleotide ribosomal RNA is filed under the name uncultured bacterium. RNAcentral's name for it is "bacterial SSU rRNA". It matches the Rfam family "Bacterial small subunit ribosomal RNA", at positions 82 to 694 of the family's 1533-position model. The record is from RNAcentral.
UCUCGCGAGUACAGUGGCGUACGGGUGAGUAACACGUGGGUAAUCUACCCUUUAGUGGGGAAUAACCCUGGGAAACCGGGGCUAAUACCGCAUAAUCCCGAGAGGGGAAAGAAGCAAUUCGCUGAAGGAGGAGCCCGCGGCCGAUUAGCUAGUUGGUGAGGUAAGAGCCCACCAAGGCAAAGAUCGGUAGCCGGCCUGAGAGGGCACACGGCCACACUGGCACUGAAACACGGGCCAGACUCCUACGGGAGGCAGCAGUGGGGAAUCUUGCACAAUGGGGGAAACCCUGAUGCAGCGACGCCGCGUGAGCGAUGAAGCCCUUCGGGGUGUAAAGCUCUUUCGGCAGGGACGAUAAUGACGGUACCUGCAGAAGCAGCUGCGGCUAACUACGUGCCAGCAGCCGCGGUAAUACGUAGGCAGCGAGCGUUGUUCGGAGUUACUGGGCGUAGAGGGUGCGUAGGCGGCCUUUUAAGUUUGGUGUGAAAUCUCCCGGCUCAACUGGGAGGGUGCGCCGGAUACUGAGAGGCUAGAGUGUGGGAAGGGAAAGUGGAAUUCCUGGUGUAGCGGUGAAAUGCGUAGA